Molecule: ribosomal RNA, 430 nt
Filed under: uncultured bacterium
Lineage: Bacteria
Description: bacterial SSU rRNA
Rfam family: Bacterial small subunit ribosomal RNA
Source: RNAcentral
GGGCCCGCACAAGCGGUGGAGCAUGUGGUUUAAUUCGAUGAUACGCGAGGAACCUUACCAGGGCUUAAAUGCAGUCUGACAGGAGUGGAAACACUCUCUUCUUCGGACAGAUUGCAAGGUGCUGCAUGGUUGUCGUCAGCUCGUGCCGUGAGGUGUCAGGUUAAGUCCUAUAACGAGCGCAACCCCUUUCGUUAGUUGCCAGCGAGUCAUGUCGGGAACUCUAGCGAGACUGCCGGUGCAAACCGUGAGGAAGGUGGGGAUGACGUCAAAUCAUCACGGCCCUUACGUCCCGGGCCACACACGUGCUACAAUGGUAGGGACAGAGGGCAGCUACCCCGCGAGGGGAUGCGAAUCUUCAAACCCUAUCACAGUUCGGAUCGCAGUCUGCAACUCGACUGCGUGAAGCUGGAAUCGCUAGUAAUCGCACAUC